This 858-nucleotide small RNA is filed under the name uncultured Rubrobacteria bacterium. RNAcentral's name for it is "bacterial SSU rRNA". The stretch from base 1 to 491 matches the Rfam family "Bacterial small subunit ribosomal RNA", at positions 1045 to 1533 of the family's 1533-position model. Lineage: Bacteria; Bacillati; Actinomycetota; Rubrobacteria. The record is from RNAcentral.
AUGGCUGUCGUCAGCUCGUGUCGUGAGAUGUUGGGUUAAGUCCCGCAACGAGCGCAACCCCUGUCCCAUGUUGCCAGCGUGAAAGACGGGGACUCAUGGGAGACUGCCGGUGACAAAUCGGAGGAAGGUGGGGAUGACGUCAAGUCAGCAUGACCCUUAUGUCUAGGGCUACACACGUGCUACAUUGGCCGAUACAAAGGGCUGCAAACCCGCGAGGGGGAGCGAAUCCCAAAAAAUCGGUCCCGGUUCGGAUUGGAGGCUGAAACUCGCCUCCAUGAAGUCGGAGUUGCUAGUAAUCGCGAAUCAGCAACGUCGCGGUGAAUACGUUCCCGGGCCUUGUACACACCGCCCGUCACACCACGAAAGUCGGCAAUACCCGAAGCCGGUGGCCUAACCCGUAAGGGAGGGAGCCGUCGAAGGUAGGGUUGAUGAUUGGGGUGAAGUCGUAACAAGGUAGCCGUAGCGGAAGCUGCGGCUGGAUCACCUCCUUUCUAGGGAUACCGGAGCAUUAGCGUCCGGUAGGCGCUCGGCCAGUAGAUGGCAACAGCCGUCCUGUUCCCGAGUUCGCCUAGAAUCACGUCAACCUCGACGAACGCUGUUGAGUUUUGAGAGACCGGUGCCGUGCUCUGGUUACUAUGGAGCAAUGCGACCGGUAUUUCUCGGUUGGGCGGACUGGUUCCGCGCGCACCUUGAAAACUCCAUAGCAGUAACUAGCGAGUUCUUCACGAUCAAGAGAAUAAGAGCACACGGUGGAUGCCUUGGCGCCAAGAGCCGAAGAAGGACGUGGGCGGCUGCGAUAAGCUCGGGUGAGGUGCUGACCAACCUUUGACCCCGAGAUUUCCGAAUGGGGAAACCCGG